AUGGGAGCUUUCCCUUCACUGCCCCCAUGGGGGUGGUCCACAAGGUUCAUAACUACCCCUCUCACUACGGGGCAUUUACCAAGCCAACACUUAGAUCCGGCUGUACCCAAACUUUUUUGGUUCGCCCCAACAUUACCCACUUGUCCGACUGUUGCUAAGCAGUUUUGGGAUACUAAACGGACCUCCCCAGAUAGUAAUCUUAAAGUGGCCGAUUUACCCUCUUUUGCAAUGAUUUUUGCUACAGCACCUGCUGCUCUAGCUAAUUGCCCACCCCUUCCACGUGUGAUUUCUAUGUUAUGCAUGGCCGUGCCUAAGGGCAUAUCGGUUGAAGUAGAUUCUUCUUUUCUCUCAAAAAACCCCUUCCCAAACUGUACAAGCUUCUUCCAAAGCAUACGGCUUUCUAGAUGUAUAUGA
RNAcentral lists this ribosomal RNA (414 nucleotides) under Triticum aestivum (bread wheat). RNAcentral describes it as "partial small subunit ribosomal RNA". The record is from RNAcentral. Lineage: Eukaryota; Viridiplantae; Streptophyta; Magnoliopsida; Poales; Poaceae.